GAUUUUUGCAUUUCAUGCUAGCUAUAGGGUUCAUUUGCUUGAGAGUCCCCUUAAAUAUGGGAUAUAGACGAGUGUGGCUUUUUCUAAGCCUUAGCACGCUUGUAUUCCCUCUAUAAAAGGGCAAAUUAAGUCACGAUUUAGGUCUCCCCGUACCCAAUAUGCAUGAAUUCCCUAGGCUCAUGCAUUUUUUAAUCCACUUUAUCAUUUUAUACUUUCACUUCUCCUCUCAUUUGCACACAUACACCUUUAUCCCUUCACUUGCACACGAACACUUCUCCUCUCAUUUGCACACGUACACCUUUUUAUCCCUUCACUUGCACACGAACACUUUGUCUCAUUUGCACAUAUGCAUUUUUUAU
RNAcentral lists this long non-coding RNA (359 nucleotides) under Coffea arabica (coffee). Its description in RNAcentral is "long non-coding RNA (CARA_LNC002910)". Lineage: Eukaryota; Viridiplantae; Streptophyta; Magnoliopsida; Gentianales; Rubiaceae. The record is from RNAcentral.